CGACUUCUACAGACUUUGGAGUUGCCACUGGAGUUGGAAUGGCAACUGGGAUCACCAACAUAAUUUCAGGGAGAAGCCAACCUACAGGAAGUAAAACAGGCUACACUGUAACAGGCUCUGGAACAACAGCCUUACCUGGAGGUUUCAGAACAGAGGCCACAACUUUUAAAGGUGAUGUUGGAACCACUGAAGCAGAAAUUUCAUCAGGCAAUACCCCAGGAUCAACGGGAGUCACCAGCAGCCAAGAAGGAACCACUGUGGUAUCAAGUGGAAUCACUGGAAUCCCAGAAACUUCCAUCUCAGGUCCUUCCAAGGAAGCAUCUGACAAAACCACUGCUCCUGGACCU
RNAcentral lists this small RNA (347 nucleotides) under Pan troglodytes (chimpanzee). RNAcentral describes it as "processed transcript". Lineage: Eukaryota; Metazoa; Chordata; Mammalia; Primates; Hominidae. The record is from RNAcentral.